AUUUUUAUUUUUAUGUUGCAUUUGGAUAAAUCUACCUCCGUUAUUGUGAUAUAAUGUUGUGUAUUUUUGUUAGUACUUAGAUUUUGAAUAUAUAUUAAAUUGUUUUGCUAAAAUACUUGAUUUAAUUGAAUUAUACAAUGAUUAACAACCUUAAUUACUUUCAGGACCCUUAUUAGUAGAUACCACUAUUCACAAUAUCUUGUGUACAAUGGAACUUAAUCUGAUCAAAAGGCAAUAAUGAGUUGGUAAUAAAUAUUUUUAUCUUAGAAUAUCCCUAUUAUGGUCGUCUGCAAUUGGAGUCUUUUGGGAUCUCAUUGACAAAAACCAUUGGUGUGCAAUCUGUAUUAUAGAAUAGUCUCUUUACAAAGAACCAAUAUUCUUCGUUCGUGAUUUGAAGGCUAAGCAAUUUAUAGGCGUGAAUAUUAUAUUAUUUAAUUAAAUACAAAUUUACCUUACCUUAAUUUAAUGUCACGAUCAACAACUGUAUCAAAAGCCACAUACUCUACUACUGCUGCAUUGGUAUAAAAUAAUGAAGCCACGCGAGUAAAAAUCUUAUAUAAACCGUAUUAAAUCACAAUAAAAUGAUUCUGUUGAAUUUGUGUUUGUUUUAUCCCUUUUCGACCAAUAACCGUAUUCUGUAUAUCUGUGCAUCUCCCUUCACUGCUUGAACUAAGAUUUGCUGUUGUGGAAGCGAGACACCGCUUUAAGCUGUAUAUUACGACGUCUUGCUUCCACAACGGCAAAAGUCUUACUUUAGGGGUAUAAAGAGGACUUCGCCAGGGGGUUUUCAAGCCCCCUGGCGAAGUCGUCUUUCAAAAAACCCUGUGAUCCUGUCUUUUUCAGGGUGGAGUUUAUUUAGCGGCAAGACUUUUACGUUAAUAUUGACAUUGAUGUGUUACAGAGAAUGAAUACAUGUUUAUACCAUUAAGAAAAGGCAGACAGCUCUUGAUGGUCAACAAAUACACAUUUUCACAAGAUCAUUGUAGUAACACUUAUUACUGCUCCAAGAGAAGUUCGGGAUGCAAGGCGAAAGUGAAACUGCAUAAGUUUGGGCGAGUAGUUGAACAUGUCGGGGAACACUUCCACGAACCUCCUAAUUACGUGCGAUUGUCUUCGGGGGAAUUUGUUAAAGUUUAGUGUAAAACUGUAAACAAUACUACUCAUCUUUGCGCUGUCGAUGGACCCUUGUUAACAGCUUUUAUUAGUGUUACUGACACACGAAUGAAAGCUUAAAUAAUAAAGUGUACAAUAAAGAAUAUUAUAAACAAUCGCUGUCUACGACUCACUCAUACUUAAGCGCGCUCCGAUGAGUUGAACUUUCUUUAGAGUAAUUGUUAACAUAAAAAAUAUCAAGAAGUACUAUACAACAAGUUACAUUUCACUGUUGGUAAUUUUUAUUAUUGUAUUGUGAAUAAUAUUUAUAUUUGUACGACUGACCAUGAAUUUAGCUAAUCUAUUGUUGGUGAAGGAAUUUAGUUUUUAAUUGUUAAUCAAUCCGUGUUAUGGAAUGUAAAGUAUCAAGUUUUUCUAAUGUUAACUUGUCUACUAGUUUAAUAUUUAGAUUAGGUAUAUGUAAGGUAUUCGUCGUGAGUUGUGAUCUAGACCAAUUAAGUACCUAUUUCUUACUUGCAUUAUUUUGUGUGUUUGUGUGUGUGUCCGAAUCUAUACCAUUUUUUUUUAUAAAUUUGAACUAUUUUCAAUGCUCAACCAUUCCGUUUCAAUGCAUUAUGCCUCUGUAAGAUAAAUAUAUUUAAUGUUAUUCUUGUUUACUUUAUAACAUUUAAGAAGUAUUCCAUUUUUUAUAUUGCGUUUUAUUACAUAACAUUAGUUUUAAUAUCGUUGUUUAAUUUGACAGCAGUAUACUCAAAAGAUCGCGUAAUUUAUAUUUUUAUUCUUCAAGUGCCUAUUAGAUGCCAACUGUCAAGCUUAUCGGGCAUGGAUAAUGGUUGUUGAAAGAUUUGUACGCACGAGUUUGCCGGUUCGAUCCCAACGCCGGCAAAUUCUAAAGUCCCUUUUUCAAAGUUUAUUCCUACUAAUAUUAUAACCAUGAAGUAAGUAUGGAUGGAGGUUCGUUACUCUUUCAUGCAAAAUUUGUUGCACAGAAUAACCAAGGGUGAGGAAAAACAUCGUGACCAUUUUAAUUUUAAAAUAUUAUAACGACGUGGGAAGAGGAAUGUGCCCAUGAAUGAGACAUUCCUUUAGGCUGGUAUUAUUUAUAUAAUUCUGUUAAAGUAGACGAUCAUGAUGAAGUCGGAUGUUUGUCAGAUUACUUACAAUUCAAAAAUAUAUUUUCAGUGUCAAACUGAAAACGCAUAUGGAAUUUCCAGGAAAAACUCGUUGGUUCAUAUUUUACCGUAGCGUCGUAAAAAUAUGAAUAAAUGUGAGCUUUUUAUUUGUUUUGCGCUAUAGCCAAUUCUUGAUGAGAGCCGAAGAUCUAGUUUAGUGCCCUGGGAGAGAUAGCUGUCGGCUAAGGCUGCGUUUCCAUCAGAGAUGUGCGAGGAUGCGUAGCGAGGGAUGUGUUUGUAAUAGACCAAUAGAAUCGCUUGAUUUACCUCGCCUCUGUCAGCAUAGCUCUGGUGGAACCGGCUCAGCAAUCAUCCUCGCACAACACAUUUCCUUCGCACCUUUCUGGUGGAAACCCAGCCUUUCUAGCAGUCGGCUGAGACGAGCUGAUGAUGAUGGUGAUAGGUGCCUCCGAUACUAAUGAAAUAAAGUGAUUGAAUUCGCCUUUCCUUCUCUGUUUACUAUAUUCAUAUCUAGGAAACCUGUUAAAAUAGAUCUUGUGAUCCUGUGACAAGUAUCGAUAAACAAAGAUGGGGCAUUAAAAUAUUUUGACAACCAAUUAAGACGGUUGGGAAUACAUAAGUACAUUACGGAUUAUUCAAUGGAUAUUAUUAACCAUCAUUUGUAGUAUUCAAAUUUUAACAAUACAAAAACUACGUUCCUUUCUGUUCCAGGCUCACCGUACGAGUUAAUUACAACAACCAGGGGGAAUACGUUGUUAUUGCUCAAUGGCUACACGUUCUAUGGUCACUGUCGUUCUAAAGUUAACUACUACUGCUCAAGCAAGUCCAAGAACUGUCCUGCAAGGGUUCGAUUGAAUGAAUAUGGAGGUAUACUGAGUGUUGUACAGAAUCAUAAUCAUAGAAGACCAGUUUAUCGGCAACUUAAUGAUGGAAAGUACAUACGAGUAUAGAAUUUGAUAAAAUUUUACUUUACUUCUACUUUGAUAAUAAAUAGUAUUUCUUAUCUUUUCUCUUUGUUUUAUUUGUAACAUACCAUAUGUCCCUUGCGGAUUUACCAGUGCGCUUAAACUUGACUGCUCGGAUAGUUGUGAGGUUACCUCUCCAAACUUACUGCCCGUGACGUGUUAUUUGUGUGUCCAUGAAAUCUUAUUCUGAGGCAGGGUGUCUAUGUGUAUGCGACGGGAACGUUUGUUAAAUUCAUCUCGACAGAAGUAUUUAAUUUAUUGAGGCUCAAAAAAUAGUUUAAAUUCUUGGCCACUAAACAAAAAAAAAUUGUUUAGUCUUAUAAUUGUUAGCCUAUUUUAGCUACCCUAAAGUAAUCGUACUACCUAACGAUAACUUUUUUUGCAUUCACAAGCAAGCCUUAUUACCUUAUAUUUUAUAAAGGCAAUCAAUUUAUCAAUUUAUUAUUCUUUAAAAUUUCAGACCUGGAUGUGAAAUUUAUUAGAACUAAUGAUGGCAAAACAUUGUUAAUGUUCAAUAAAUAUACUUUUUCACUACGCAGACGUUCUACAAAUUUGUAUUACUGCUCUAAAAGAAGUACUUUGAAAUGCAAAAGUAGUUUAAAACUAUCGGAAGAGGGAAGAGUCGUGUUUUUCAUAGAUAGACAUAAUCACAGACCACCAGCUUUCGAAGUGUGUGGAGGAAUCUAUGUAAGAGCUGUGUAAAAACCAGUAUUAUAAAACUGAGACGAAAACAGACAUGUGUAAGCUGGCAGAUGAAAAGAUGCAUUUAUUAGUGGUGCUAUACAUGAUAUAUGAUGUUCAUGCAUAAUGAUAGAUAAACGGAGGUGCAAAAUUCAGAAGCGUUACCAUCACGGGCACUAAGCCCAAAAAGACGCCCUGAAUGUAACUGAUUGAAAGUUACUUGCAAGAUAGAUGAAGAUGACAUAGAAUGUGAUAUAAUUUUGCCAGUACAAUAUUGAUUGGUUAUCGAUUGGACAUUUCAGCUCAUCUCAGCAUCUAGAAAUGUAAUUAGAUUUAUCAAACUACAAGUUCAUUCAAACGAUACGCGGUAAAACGUUGCUUAUGGUCAAUGGAUAUACGUUUACGGAGAACAACCGCGCUAAAAACACUUAUUACUGUUCGAGAAAGUACAAGAGUUAAUACACCAUGAUACCGACGCCUAGAGGAAAAAAGCUUUUGAUGCUCAAUGGGUACACAUAUUCGCAGAAGAAUUUGACCAGGAACUACUAUUGUAGUAAGAAGGAUGCUGGAUGUAAAGCGAGGGUCAAGUUGGAUAAAGACGGGUCUGUGAACUCUGCAUCAGUCACUAUUCAUUUUCAUGACCCUCCGCAAUACGUGGUUUUGCCUCAUGGAGAUUAUGUCAAAGUUUGAUGUAGAUAUCCAGUUUUCUAUCCUUUUACUACGACGUCGUACUGGGGUCUUCGAUCUCUAGAUCUAAACGGGGGAGCGUCUCAAACCAAGUUUUAACCAAGAACUGGCGAGCAGCACCGAUUUUACAUUAACCAUUUGGGUCUAAUACAUCGUAUUUACAUCGAUUAAUAUGCUAGGAAAGCUAUUGGAUUAGACCUUUUGUCGAAUCGAAUUUGAACUGUGAACGAUUGACCAAAAUACUGUCCCAAUCUCAGGCUUGAUUGAUGACUAUGUUGGAAUAAAUAAUAAUCGGAAAUUAGAGCUAAUUUGGGAUACAAAAUGAUACCAACGAAACGUGGGAAGUUCUUGCUAAUGUACGAAGGAUACACAUAUUCACAGCAACAUUGGUCUGCGAACUACUAUUGCUCCAAAAAGGACUCUGGCUGCAAGGCUAAGAUAAAGCUCGACAGUUUGGGGAGAAUACUCCCGAUAUCACAGAUCGAGCAUAUGCAUCCGCCCCCUCAGUAUUUAAUGAUGCCUAAAGGGAAUUAUGUUAAACUGUCCUGAUAAGGGUAUGAAAUAUACGUUUAUCCCCUCCACAAAAGGGAAGAUGUUACUGAUGGUGAAUAAAUACACUUAUUGGCAAAAAAAUGAUACUCGGCUUUACUAUUGCUCUCAACGAUCCAUCGGAUGCAAGGCUAGGGUAAAACUUGAGAAGUACGGGACUAUUACAGCUAUGAACGAUGACCACCACCACGCCCCACCAAACUACUUGAUGACCACUUCAGGACAUUAUAUUAAAAUAAAAUGAGCAGUCUCAUUUAAAAAAAAUAUACCAAAUGUUCUUUUUGCUAUUAUGUGAUUGUUAAGUUCUCAAAAUGAAUGGCCUCUGAAACAAUAAGACCUUCUCGAGGACUGUUCUUAUUUCGUUUUUGCCUGAGAGGAAGCAUUUAUGAUCUGUUUGCUCCGUUAAAGUAUAUAUAUUUCUGAAUGAGUUGUUCUUAGCCUCACUCGUAAGUAAUCUGUUUGUGUAUCUGUUACUAUAGUACUAUAAAAUAUAUUGCUGCUAACAGUACAAUGAUGAUUUUAUUUUAUGGCCGAUCGUCACAACAUUUACAAAAUCGCUUAACCUAAAAUAUCCCUUAUCUUACUAUAACAAUAAAGGCUGCUAUCAGCAAUAAAAGCUUUUUGUUCCAGAAAUACCAUAUGAGCAAGUGGUAUCCCAGAAAGGGAGAAUCAUGUUGCUGGUCGAUGGAUACACGUUUUCGAAGAAGACUACGAAUUGGGUAUGUUCAUCCAGGAUGAAUAACUGCAAGGCGAGUCUCAAGCUGAAUGCUGCAGGAAAAAUUAUAGCGCUCAAUAACCAUCACACUCACCCCCCGAGAGGCUUCAUGACAAUGGCAUGUGGAACGAUAGUUCGAAUAUAAUAAGGUCAUAGGGACAAUGCUACAUCGCAUAAGCGUGUGCGAAUAGAAAACUUCAAAUAUGAGGACAUUCCUUUUUAUCAUUUUGUUGUUGAUGUCACUUCAAUACAUUUGAGUGAUAUAAUCAGAGUUAACGGUGGUUUAUCGACUGCCUAAAUUUCUGACUCCGAGCUAGAGCAGCAUCUUAUAUUGAUCGCCCGGGAACUGGCCGCAGAUGUUUGCCUCUAAUUAGCACGUAUAAAUCCUUCAUUAGCUUUCAAAGAAAAAUAAAUUGUCUUCAAGCGCUGAACACAAUAUCUAUGUGAUACUUUUGUUACUACUAGAAUUAAUAAAUAACAUUUAGGUGGUUGGAUGUAAGAUUAGAAAAACUCGUUUUAAAGCGAAAAGUGUACAAUAGGCAGGUACUCUUUACGAACUUUUCUUGUAAAUAUGGAUUUGGUCCUAAAAUACUUGCCGUUGUGUUGUGUUUUUAAAAUAAAUGUUUACUCGUUUGAGUUCCAUAGUUAAAAUGAAAACCUUCACAAGAAACGGGGUGUUCCGCCGCUUCCGCGAACAAGUUCCACCAGAACGCACUAAGACGUAGUUCAAGGAAGAUGACUAACUUAAUUUUAAGCUAUCCCUACUAAUAUUAUAAAUGCGAAAGUAACUCUAUCUGUCUGCCUG
Molecule: RNA transcript, 6648 nt
Organism: Trichoplusia ni (cabbage looper)
Lineage: Eukaryota; Metazoa; Arthropoda; Insecta; Lepidoptera; Noctuidae
Exons: 5
Source: RefSeq, a predicted model, not a curated record